GAUGAGCGCUGGCGGCGUGCCUAAUACAUGCAAGUCGAGCGAACGGACGAGAAGCUUGCUUUUCUGAUGUUAGCGGCGGACGGGUGAGUAACACGUGGAUAACCUACCUAUAAGACUGGGAUAACUUCGGGAAACCGGAGCUAAUACCGGAUAAUAUUUUGAACCGCAUGGUUCAAAAGUGAAAGACGGUCUUGCUGUCACUUAUAGAUGGAUUCGCGCUGCAUUAGCUAGUUGGUAAGGUAACGGCUUACCAAGGCAACGAUGCAUAGCCGACCUGAGAGGGUGAUCGGCCACACUGGAACUGAGACACGGUCCAGACUCCUACGGGAGGCAGCAGUAGGGAAUCUUCCGCAAUGGGCGAAAGCCUGACGGAGCAACGCCGCGUGAGUGAUGAAGGUCUUCGGAUCGUAAAACUCUGUUAUUAGGGAAGAACAUAUGUGUAAGUAACUGUGCACAUCUUGACGGUACCUAAUCAGAAAGCCACGGCUAACUACGUG
This 497-nucleotide ribosomal RNA is filed under the name uncultured bacterium. Its description in RNAcentral is "partial 16S ribosomal RNA". It matches the Rfam family "Bacterial small subunit ribosomal RNA", at positions 28 to 507 of the family's 1533-position model. The record is from RNAcentral.